AUCGAACGCUGGCGGCAGGCCUAACACAUGCAAGUCGAGCGAUGCAUUCGGACAUAGUGCUGGACAGGUACGUAACACGUGGGACACUGCCUUUGGGUUUGGCAGGUCAGGGGGGAAUUCGUGCUAAUACGGGAUCUUGUCUUCCAACCAAAGAUUUAGCGCCCGGGGAUGAGCCUUCGUAGGAGUAGCUAGUUGGUGGGGUAAUGGCCUACCAAGGCGACGAUGCUUAGCUGGUCUGAGAGGCUGCUCAGCCACACUGGGACUGAGACACGGCCCAGACUCCUACGGGAGGCAGCAGUGGGGAAUAUUGGACAAUGGGCGCAAGCCUGAUCCAGCAAUGCCGCGUGAGUGAUGUAGGCCUGAGGGUUGUAAAGCUCUUUUACCCGGGAUGAUAAUGACAGUACCGGGAGAAUAAGCUCCGGCUAACUCCGUG
Molecule: ribosomal RNA, 433 nt
Filed under: uncultured bacterium
Lineage: Bacteria
Description: partial 16S ribosomal RNA
Rfam family: Bacterial small subunit ribosomal RNA
Source: RNAcentral